Long non-coding RNA from Solanum pennellii, 2607 nucleotides. RefSeq lists it as uncharacterized. The transcript is spliced from 2 exons. The record is from RefSeq and is a predicted model, not a curated record. Lineage: Eukaryota; Viridiplantae; Streptophyta; Magnoliopsida; Solanales; Solanaceae.
AGCGGAGAAAUGAAACACUGAGCAGGGAUCCAAAUGCGGAAGAGCGUAGCGCGUGAACAGUAGGCCAGGCCAUGUACGCGCCUUCUCCAGUUUGGCAUUUUCCCUCUUUUUCUCGUACGAUUCCCUACAUCUCAGCAGCUAUGACAGGUACGGCGGCACGCGUUGUCCUUAUGCUUUGGGAUUGAGCCACGUUGCAUCUAAGGACAAAGGAGGUGAUCCCAAUCGUCCACCUCUAAUUUUUAUCCGUUCAAUUGGAGGAUCGUUUGGGGAUAUUGGAGAUUUUGGGACGGAUUUGAAGGAAUUUCAAACCUUUGGUUGAAAACUCGGUUUUUCCCUUGUCCUUUUCCCUCACAAAAGAUGAACCCUAAUUCUUUUCCCCUAUAUAUAUUUUUGCUAUCUUUAGUGUUAAAUGGGGAUUUUUUUUCUGGGAAAUUAGAAAUUUUAAGGGGGAAAUUUGGCAAAGGGUAAUAGUGUUCAGAGUUUUCUUUCUGAUUUUGGUUUCUUAGGCAGAAACAGGGGAGUUUUGGGAGGUUUUUUUUUGGGAGUUCGUAAGGUGAGAACACUAGAGAGGAACUAAGCAAGAUAUCAAAAGAUAACAAUACAAGAAUACAUUCUUUAGGCAGAGAAGUCGAUCUUGAGUGAAAACAUCACAUUUCCCGCUCACUUCGUCAUCGUUUUCUCUCGAGCCAUGGAGAUUUGUGAUUCAGAACUUUCUUGGGAUCCUUCUUGGUUGUUGCUGGUGUAGCGUCCCGGGUAGAAGAUCGUCAUUUACUGCUCGUCCUGUCUGUAGCUCGCUGCCUAGUAAAAGUUCCUUCAUUUCAACAUGGACACCAAGACGCCAGACAUUCUCCGCGUAUGGUGGGACAACCUCAAAUAUUGUAAAAAGAGAGAAAUCUUGAUUCACCUGGGUCACUUACCUUCAAUAAUGGACUUCAAGGUAUGGCCCACGUUUAUCGAGGUUAUCACUCGAUUCUGGGACGAUGAGAAGAUCGUUUUUCGAUUUGGAGAUGUCAAAAUAAUACCUACGCUGGAGGAAAUUAAGGAUUGUCUGGACUUUAUCGAGAUGUGUGGCAAGAGGAAAAAAUGUCCAAAUCAUCACAUCCUUCUUCAAGAUAGGCCGACUGGUGAGGUAUUAAAGAACAUAUUGUUACUAGUAAAUACAAACUGGUUGGAAACCCACGAUAUACCACUAAUGAGAUUUUUUGAGAGAUGGGGGCACGACAGCUAUUUCAGACUAUUUCCCAAUGAAUUUCACAAUCACAGUACCUGGAGCGAAACUCAGACUAUCGCUUUCUUUGCAUGCCAUUUAGGAACUAUGGUGUUCCCUAAAGAUGAAGGAAAGGAAAUCGACACCCGGGUUGUGAUGGUAGUGGAUGCCAUGUUCAGAGGAAUUGGUAGAAAACAAGAAGAAAAUAAGUACUGUAGUUUAGCCCUGGUCAUUUUGGCCGGCAUUUAUCGAUCUUUAAGCCUGUGUAAAAAUGGGUUCCCGUUUUUCAAGUUUGCAACAUUCUACUUCAAUGGUGGUUGAUUGAGCAACUCUACAAAAGGGAUGGCGCCCAGGUACAAGAGUUGGCCAAACCGAGCCAGACGAGUCCUCUUGAUAACUAUGAAUUCUAUCCAAGUGUCCGCAGAUUUCCAAUUCAUACCACCAGGGGUGCGUGGGCAAGGGUAUUUUAUGAUUUGAAAUAAGUAGACAUAUAGUGGAUGUUACCAAACUUCAAGUCCGAGAGGAUAGCAGCACAAGGGGAAUAACUUCCAUUUUUAAUCCUUCCUGGCAUUAAAGGAUUGCGUCCCUACAACCCAGCAAGAGUGAUGCGACAAUUUGGUAGAACACAAAUCAUACCCGCUGAAGGGGAUGCUAGCUCUUUUGUUGUCGAUUACAGCGAGAACGGCAAAAUACCUUUCGCUAAGAUCAUCCUCCAGGAAUGGGACGGACGUGUCAACAUGAAGUGGGAUAUGACCUAGAGUAGAUAUGAAGCUGGGUAUGUCAACGAAUACAAGACAUGGUUGUAGAAUGAUCUGCAUGGUGUAGUGAAUCUGACACCACGCACAAGUCAAAAAAUUGAAGACGUACAGACAAGGCUUCAAAUCCACGCAUACAAUUUUCAGCAAGAAUGGGGCCGAAGGGAGCAAGAAUUUUAGCAGAAAGAGCGAGAAUUUCAGAAGAGAGACCAAGAAUUUCAACAAAGGGAGUGAGAGUACCAAUUCCGAGAGUUAGAAAGUCAGAGGUUUUUAGUUGUGACGUCACAAGAGCUAGCUGAUACAAGGGCUUGUCUGAUGCGUUUGGACACAACCCUGGACGAGCAGAUGAACACUUUACGAGUCAUACCAACAUCUUCAAAAGUUGUGUUCCCCGAGCCAUACGUGUUCACCAGCAAGUGUAUCAUCCGCAAAGAAGUAAAGAAGGCCAGAAGAGGAGCCCACCCAUCAACAUUUUGACUCCCCUGCGUGGGAUUGUUUUCUAUCUGUAUUUUGCAUCACAUCCCCCUCCUUAAAUGUACCCCGUUUGAUUUAAAAUUAUGUAAGGAACGCUAUGAUAUUUAGUGAAGUUUAUUUUGGGGAUACAACUAUUUGUUGAAAUGACGCAAUACAUCCUUCAAAUCGCUA